CAUCUUUUCUUGUUAGUUUUUGAAGUAUGGCCUGCCCACUGACUUAGAGUUGAAGGGCCGCGGUAUUUUGACCGUGCAAAGGUAGCAUAAUCAUUAGUUCUUUAAUUGUGAUCUGGUAUGAAUGGCUUGACGAGACAUAAGCUGUCUUAGAGGUAUUGGUUUAUUGAAUUUGGUUUUUGAGUUAAAAUUCUUAAAUGUUUUUAUGGGACGAGAAGACCCUAUAGAGUUUGACAAUUUUCCUAUUUAUUCGUUGUUUGUGUUUAUUUACAUUGAGUGGGAGUGAAUUGUUUUGUUGGGGUGAUGGGAGGAAUAUUAUUUAACUCCUCUUUGUUUUUAUAUAUUUAUGUAUAUAUUUUUGAUCCAUUUAUUUUGAUUAUAAGAUUAAAUUACCUUA
This 394-nucleotide ribosomal RNA is filed under the name Nasutitermes ephratae. Its description in RNAcentral is "partial 16S ribosomal RNA". The record is from RNAcentral. Lineage: Eukaryota; Metazoa; Arthropoda; Insecta; Blattodea; Termitidae.